This is an RNA transcript of Arachis stenosperma, 2436 nucleotides long. It is a transcript of the gene named GCN5-related N-acetyltransferase 5, chloroplastic, with no coding region annotated. Lineage: Eukaryota; Viridiplantae; Streptophyta; Magnoliopsida; Fabales; Fabaceae. The record is from RefSeq and is a predicted model, not a curated record. The transcript is spliced from 6 exons.
UUGUUAUAAUUAUUUUCUCUAUUUGGAGACAUAUUCAUGUCAGCCGCACCUGACUAAUAUAUGUCAUUUAUGUAUGCCGUCCAAUUGAACAACUAAAACAGUUUUUUCUUUGAUAUGUUUUCAGACAGGUUAUCCACAAAAAUAGACAAAGACUGAUGCUCCAAAUGUUAAUACUCUUCUCAGUUCUAGAUUUUUGGAUCUUUAUCAUGUUCUCUAACUCUACUCCUGCCUGUAUUUCCCAUCCACGCGCUCUCUCUCUCAUCUUGUUUGAGUGACUUUUUAUCUUGAUACCAUUGGACUAUUUCUAUGAAUUAAAAUCCUUUCUUCUAUUAAAAAAAAUUGAAAAGCUGCAUGGGAGUGGGAGAGGGUGUGAUGAAUGAGGCAAAGUGAGGAGUGAGGAGGACCUUAAACUAUUAUUAGUGGCACCCAUUUCAUUCCUGCAACUGCUACUUAUCCAUAUUUGCAUCUUGUUCUUUCUCUUCUUCUUCUUCUUCUUCUUAUUGCUGGGGACCACGACCAUUGAAAUCGAUCCUCUAUCGUUAUUAGUAAUUACUCCUUUCUCUUCUUCCAGGUCCCACACAACCCCUCUUCAAUGCCAUGCUUCUCUUCUGUUCCUCUUCCACACAACCUACCUGCUAACUUACUUCCCACACACAAUUACCAAUAACAGCGUCACCAUCCACCAUGGCCGCAACACUCUCCCUCUCCCUCUCUUUAGACCCCCAAACCCACCACCACCACCGAUUCUUCUUCCCCAAACACCACACGCGUCAUUUCGCAUAUUCACUCCCAAAUUUCCACAUUUACCCUUCACAAUCCUUCAAAAUCUCAUCUUCCACCCCUUCCCAUUCUCACUCCUCAACAACAUCACCACCACCACCGCCGCCAAUCUCCUCUCUGUACCUGGACGACCCCUUCCGCACAGGUCGCUUCCUCACCAACGACGAGCUCGACCGCCUCCGCUUCCUGGAAUCCUUCGUCUACUCGGAGGACCUCAAAUCCGGCUCCAUGUGGGUCCGUGUGAUGCGCCCCGACGAGACUGACACCACCGUCGCUCUCCUCGCCGAAUCCUUCGCCGAGUCAAUGAUGCUGCCGCCGGGGUACGCUGGGCUGCUCAGGUUCCUCAUCAAGAAGUACCUUCUGGAAAGGAGAACCCUCAUGCCUCACAUGGCCACACUCCUUGGAUUCUACAGAGAAAACGCUCCUAAUCAGGGAGAACAACAAGAACAACAAGUGAAAUUCGCGGGAACUGUGGAGGUUUGCUUUGACCAGAGGGGUGCCAAUACUUCCAUGCCUUCGCCACUUCCUCCGAGGAACUCGCCUUAUAUAUGUAACAUGGCGGUUCACAAGUCGCUUCGGAGGAGGGGCCUUGGGUGGCAUCUGCUGAAGGCAAGUGAGGAACUAAUUUCUCAGAUGAGUUCUUCAAGAGAGGUUUACUUGCACUGCAGAAUGAUUGACGAAGCUCCAUUUAGCAUGUAUGAAAAAGCAAAUUACAAAGUUGUAAAAACAGAUAGUAUUUUAGUCCUGCUGAUGUUGCAGAGACGAAAGCACCUGAUGUGCAAGAAACUUCCUCUGUCGAAUAUGCCUUCAGAAACAGAUCUCUCUGGUUCAGAUGAGUAAAAUAUUAGACAGAUGUAUACACAUGCUGCAAAAUACUGUUGAGAAACGAUAACAACAUAAUUUUGUGAAUUUAACUGGAGAUUGGAGAUUAAUGAGUGAUUCAGGCAUCCUUGUUUGUUUCUCUUAUCUGUAGGAAAGAGGUUGCUUGUGUCAAAGAUAAUCAUUAGGAGUUCCUGUACACAUUCCGCCAUUGAAGGUCUCUCAUUACUAUCAGUUCGGACGCAUCUUGAUGCCAGAUUGGCAAACAUGACUAUAGACUGAAUAGUGUAAGAAUUUCGGGCCAUCUCUGGAUCUAUGACCUUACGCAGCUUCUUUCGAUCAUUCAGAAUAUGCCUCACCUGCAUAUGAAUGUCUCAUUUACAAGGUUCUGAUCAUUGGGACCUUGGUUUAGAUCAACUGCUCGGCGUCCAGUCAAAAGUUCCAGAAGAACAACACCAAAAGCAUAAACAUCACUUUGCAGAGUUUCCAUUAUGCAUGUAUUCAUAUACUAGGAAUCUAUGUUUUCCAUCAGCACAGUAGCCUAUCAAAGAAACAAGAUUUGGGUGGUCGAGUCUGCUCAAGAUGUCCACUUCAACUCGGAACUCACGUUCUCCCUCGGCUUCUUUAAUUGCUGGCAGCGCCAUCUUCUUGAUUGCAACGACCUUUGAAGGAAGAUGUUGUAUUAGUAUGUAUAUAUUUGUAUCUAAAUUUCAAAUUUUGAGCUAUUUUGAAAUAAGCAUGUGUUUUCCUUCCUGGUAGAUACAACUGAUGUUAUAAAAUUUUGAGAAUCAUGAUGAAUUCUUGUGGAGAAUAAACUUAUAUCCAGAGCUUGUUACC